GGGACUACAGGCACCUGCAACCACACCCGGCUAAUUUUUUGUAUUUUUAGUAGAGACGGGGUUUCACUGUGUUAGCCAGGAUGGUCUCCAUCUCCUGACCUCGUGAUCCGCCCGCCUCGGCCUCCCAAAGUGCUGGGAUUACAGGCAUGAGCCACAGUGCCCAGCCUAUUAAAUCUCUUUUUAAGGUGGAAUAUAAUUAACAAGCCAACAUCAGUCUCCAGAGUGAAUCCAAGGAGAGGACCCAAGACAUUCAUGUUCUGUGAUGUGGUGACAUGUUACCUGUCAUCUCUGAUGCACAACUCCUAAAGUGUUUGCAUCUGGGGCAGUUGUACAGAUUGCAGAAGCUAAUACUCAAGAUGUUCUCCAAGGCCAACUACUCAUCAGUUUAUUCAUGUUUCUGGGAUUGGAUUCAUGAACUCAUCCUUUGAACUAUUUCAACAAGCUUUUUCAUGUAACUAAUCUGCGGAAGGUAGAAAGGGUAAAACUGUUGGGUGCUAAAAUGACAACUGGUUCA
Molecule: long non-coding RNA, 514 nt
Filed under: Pongo abelii (Sumatran orangutan)
Lineage: Eukaryota; Metazoa; Chordata; Mammalia; Primates; Hominidae
Description: lincRNA
Source: RNAcentral